AGUGAACGCUGGCGGUAGGCCUAACACAUGCAAGUCGAACGGCAGCACAGUAAGAGCUUGCCCUUACGGGUGGCGAGUGGCGGACGGGUGAGGAAUACAUCGGAAUCUACUUUUUCGUGGGGGAUAACGUAGGGAAACUUACGCUAAUACCGCAUACGACCUACGGGUGAAAGCAGGGGAUCUUCGGACCUUGCGCGAUUGAAUGAGCCGAUGUCGGAUUAGCUAGUUGGCGGGGUAAGGGCCCACCAAGGCGACGAUCCGUAGCUGGUCUGAGAGGAUGAUCAGCCACACUGGAACUGAGACACGGUCCAGACUCCUACGGGAGGCAGCAGUGGGGAAUAUUGGACAAUGGGCGCAAGCCUGAUCCAGCCAUACCGCGUGGGUGAAGAAGGCCUUCGGGUUGUAAAGCCCUUUUGUUGGGAAAGAAAAGCAGCAGGUUAAUACCCCGCUGUUCUGACGGUACCCAAAGAAUAAGCACCGGCUAACUUCGUG
RNAcentral lists this ribosomal RNA (492 nucleotides) under uncultured bacterium. RNAcentral's name for it is "partial 16S ribosomal RNA". It matches the Rfam family "Bacterial small subunit ribosomal RNA", at positions 29 to 507 of the family's 1533-position model. The record is from RNAcentral.